This 2229-nucleotide ribosomal RNA is filed under the name Triticum aestivum (bread wheat). RNAcentral describes it as "partial small subunit ribosomal RNA". Lineage: Eukaryota; Viridiplantae; Streptophyta; Magnoliopsida; Poales; Poaceae. The record is from RNAcentral.
AUGGCGACGGCCGCCGCCACCGCCGCCAAGCCGGCGGCGAGGACGACGGUGAACGUGGCCGGGGCCGUGUACCGCGUGCAGCUGGCCCUCCUCGACGGCGCAGCGGCCUCCAACGAGCCCCUCCUCCACGCGGCCGCCGCUAUCCUCUCCCGCGCCGACUACGACGACGUCGUCACCGAGCGCUCCAUCGCCGAGGCGUGCGGCCACCCAGCGUGCACCAGCUCCCUCCCCGACCCCGCCAACCCCAAGGCGGCGCCGCGGUUCCACAUCUCCCUCCGCGAGCACCGCGUCUACGACCUCGAGGAGGCCCGCAAGUUCUGCUCCGAGCGCUGCCUCGUCGCCUCCGCGGCCUUCGCCGCCUCGCUCCCGCCCGACCGCCCCUUCGGGAUCCCGCCCAACAGGCUGGACGCCCUGGUCGCGCUCUUCGAGGGCAGCGGGGACGGUCCGGGGCUAGGGUUUCGGUCGGACGGUGGGAAGAAGGAGGACGAGGGGAGGAAGGUGGAGAUUGUGGAGAAGGAGACGCCUGGGCCUGGGGAGGUGACGCUGCAGGAGUGGAUUGGGCCGUCGGGCGCCAUCGAGGGCUAUGUGCCCCGCCAUCACCCCAUUCAUGAAGGGCCAAUGCCACAGGCUAAACAGGGCAAAGCUAGUAGAGCUGAGCUGUCCGGGAAUAAGAAUGUGGAUUCUGGGGCUGCUGUUCUUGGCGAACAUAGCAUGGCAGUUUCAUCUUCUUCAGUUGAAGCACAAGUGGGCUCUGAAGAUAUAGCUAAAAAAAUUGAUGGCAUGGUCCUUCAUGAGAACACAAAAACGAAGAAAAAAGGCGCAGAUAAAACCCUAUCAAAGAUUUUCCAACAGGAUGAAGAUACGGAUAUGUUAUUGCCUUGCAUAACUGAUUCCAUUGCGAAGCAACUAGAGCUUGUAGUUUUGGAAGAGAGAAAUGACAAGAAGAAAAAGAAAUCAACUAGAGCAUCAUCAAGGGCAUGCAAGAGUAAGCCUGCAAGAAAACCUGCUGGAAGUAAUGGCCAUGAAGUAGGCUUUACUAGUACAAUCAUUAUGGGGGAUCCUGCUUCGGUAAAGAUGGAUCAAGGGCCUUUGGGUCAAUAUGACUUUGCAAGUUCCAUCCUCAUAGAUAAUCAGCCCUCAUCAUCUCAAUACACAGUAAGAGAUUCAAUGCAUACUUACACUGAACAACUACACAAAGAAUUCAGUAAAGCAGUGGACCUUGAAAAAAAUGAGACAAGUGACGAGAAGGUUAGUGCUGCACUAAAAUCUUCACUGAAGGCUGUAGGGUCUAAGAACAGAAGUCAGUCUGUGACAUGGGCAGAUGAUAAUGGGAGCAUCUUAGAAGCAAGCAAAGCAUAUGACAUCGAUUCAGAUGCUAAAAAUCUAUCUAUGGAGGACAUUGACAGUUCACUAAGGCGUGAAUCCGCAGAGGCUUGCGCAGCUGCCCUUAUUGAAGCUGCAGGAGCUAUUUCUUCAGGCACAUCAGAAGUGGAAGAUGCAGUUUCCAAGGCAGGGAUCAUCAUAUUGCCUGACAUGCUUCACCAGAAACAGUUCGAGAAUGUCCAUGGCAAAGAUACAGUGGAAAAGGUAGUAUCUGAAACAGAUGGUAAUGUUGUGAAGUGGCCAACAAAGACCGUGCUUCUGGACACUGACAUGUUUGAAGUUGAUGAUUCUUGGCACGACACACCACCAGAAGGUUUCAGUUUAACACUGUCUGCUUUUGCAACAAUGUGGACGACAAUAUUUGGAUGGAUAUCCCGGUCAUCUUUGACCUAUGUAUACAUGCUUGAUGACAGUUCUGUGGAAGAAAUGUUGAUUUCUAAUGGGAGAGAGUAUCCUGAGAAGCGAGUUUCGAAAGAUAGUCAAUCAUCUGAAAUUAAAAGAGCUUUAGCUUCUUGCAUUUCUAAUGCACUGCCGGUACUUGUAUCAAACAUGAGGAUGCAAAUCCCAGUUUCAAAGUUGGAGACUACUCUGGGAUACUUGAUUGACACAAUGUCACUUGUUGACGCACUGCCUGCUCUGAGAUCAAGGCAAUGGCAGCUGCUGGUUCUUGUUCUGCUCGAUGCACUCUCUGUGCACCGGCUUCCUGCUCUUGCUCCAGUGAUCUCAGACUCAAAGCUUGUGCACAAGGUCUUAAACUCGGCUCAGGUUAGCAGAGAGGAGUACGACUCCAUUGUCGACCUCAUCCUCCCUUUUGGAAGAUCUGGCCAGACGCCCAUGUCAAGUUAA